UACGUCACCCGCUUUACCGCACAUGUCGAGCCCAGGUAAGGUUCUUCGCGUUGCAUCGAAUUGAGCCACACGCUCCGCCGCUUGUGCGGGCCCCCGUCAAUUCCUUUGAGUUUUAGCCUUGCGGCCGUACUCCCCAGGCGGGAUGCUUAAUGCGUUAGCUGCGCCACUGACAGGCAAGCCUGCCAACGGCUAGCAUCCAUCGUUUACGGCGUGGACUAC
Molecule: unclassified non-coding RNA, 219 nt
Filed under: uncultured bacterium
Lineage: Bacteria
Description: contains 16S-23S intergenic spacer region
Source: RNAcentral